AACGAACGCUGGCGGCAUACCUAACACAUGCAAGUCGAACGAGACCUUCGGGUCUUGUGGCGCACGGGUGCGUAACGCGUGGGAACCUGCCCUUAGGUUCGGAAUACCUCCCCGAAAGGGGUGCUAAUACCGGAUAAUGUCUUCGGACCAAAGAUUUAUCGCCUUUGGAUGGGCCCGCGUUGGAUUAGCUAGUUGGUAGGGUAAAAGCCUACCAAGGCGACGAUCCAUAGCUGGUCUGAGAGGAUGAUCAGCCACACUGGGACUGAGACACGGCCCAGACUCCUACGGGAGGCAGCAGUGGGGAAUAUUGGACAAUGGGCGAAGGCCUGAUCCAGCAAGGCCGCGUGAGUGAUGAAGGCCUUAGGGUUGUAAAGCUCUUUUACCCGGGAUGAUAAUGACAGUACCGGGAGAAUAAGCUCCGGCUAACUCCGUG
RNAcentral lists this ribosomal RNA (433 nucleotides) under uncultured bacterium. RNAcentral describes it as "partial 16S ribosomal RNA". It matches the Rfam family "Bacterial small subunit ribosomal RNA", at positions 29 to 507 of the family's 1533-position model. The record is from RNAcentral.